GACGAACGCUGGCGGCGCGCCUAACACAUGCAAGUCGAGCGAUGAAAUUUUAACCGAUCUCUUCGGAGAGAAGAUAAAAUGGAUUAGCGGCGGACGGGUGAGUAACACGUGAGAAACCUGCCUUUCACAAGGGGAUAGCCUCGGGAAACCGGGAUUAAUACCCUAUGACACAUUUCCUUCGCAUGGAAGAAAUGUUAAAACUCCGGUGGUGAAAGAUGGUCUCGCGCCUGAUUAGCUAGUUGGUGGGGUAACGGCCCACCAAGGCCAUGAUGAGUAGCCGACCUGAGAGGGGGAUCGGCCACACUGAAAAUGAGACAAGGUGCAGACUACUAAGGGAGGCAGCAGUAGGGAAUCUGACGCAAUGGGCGAAAGCGUGAAGGAGAAAAGCCGCGUGAGUGAUGAAGGUCUUCGGAUCGGAAAAAUCUGUUAUUAGGGAAGAACAUAUGGGUAAGUAACUGUGCACAUCUUGACGGUACAUAAUAAGAAAGACACGGCUAACUACGUG
RNAcentral lists this ribosomal RNA (505 nucleotides) under uncultured bacterium. Its description in RNAcentral is "partial 16S ribosomal RNA". It matches the Rfam family "Bacterial small subunit ribosomal RNA", at positions 28 to 507 of the family's 1533-position model. The record is from RNAcentral.